AAAAAAUCCACUUCAUAGAGAACAAAACAUCACACCCUAACAUAUUGAAAAACAUCAUUACAACCAUAUAAUUGUUUGCAAUGUCACAUGUUGCUCAGGUAAUCGAAACAGCUUUCCCAUAUCUAGAACCUUUCUACGUAUUUACUUGUUGCAAAAUGCAGGGACGCAUCAAGUAUACAUUGUAAACAAGAAAGAGAUUACCUUUGUCUGCCAUCUUGAUAGGUACAUAGAUUUCCUUGAUUCUUUGUUGAUUCGGAGAUGGAUAAAGUCGGGCUUUGGUGAAGUAGUUGGAUUUUUUGUUGAAUGCUACUCGGAUUGUCCUCGGAGGGAGUCACAUGGGUAAAAUAGAUUUUGGGGCUAGAUUGUAGUCAUCAGAGGGAGCCAAGUCGAUGAAUCAAAUUUCGUCACGUGGGAGAAUCAGAUUUUUGGGGCCGGAUUGUUGAGGGAGUUGCUUGAUGGCAAUUAUGAUUUUGGGAAAAAUUUAGGAAUGAAUUGAUUUUCUCGGUUCAUUGCCCUUUUUCACUUCGAUUCCAAUUUCAUUUCCUUUUUUUUUUUUUUUAGUUUGUUC
This 568-nucleotide long non-coding RNA is filed under the name Olea europaea subsp. europaea. The record is from RNAcentral. Lineage: Eukaryota; Viridiplantae; Streptophyta; Magnoliopsida; Lamiales; Oleaceae.